RNAcentral lists this ribosomal RNA (254 nucleotides) under uncultured bacterium. RNAcentral describes it as "partial 16S ribosomal RNA". It matches the Rfam family "Bacterial small subunit ribosomal RNA", at positions 524 to 776 of the family's 1533-position model. The record is from RNAcentral.
UACGAAGGGGGCUAGCGUUGUUCGGAUUUACUGGGCGUAAAGCGCACGUAGGCGGGUCGUUAAGUCAGGGGUGAAAUCCCAGAGCUCAACUCUGGAACUGCCUUUGAUACUGGCGACCUAGAGUUCGGAAGAGGUUAGUGGAAUUCCCAGUGUAGAGGUGAAAUUCGUAGAUAUUGGGAAGAACACCAGUGGCGAAGGCGGCUAACUGGUCCGAUACUGACGCUGAGGUGCGGAAAGCGUGGGGAGCAAACAGG